UACGUAGGGGGCAAGCGUUGUCCGGAUUCAUUGGGCGUAAAGAGCGUGUAGGCGGCCAGGUAGGUCGGUUGUGAAAACUGGAGGCUCAACCUUCAGAGGUCGACCGAAACCAUCUGGCUAGAGUCCGGGAGAGGAGAGUGGAAUUCCUGGUGUAGCGGUGAAAUGCGCAGAUAUCAAGAAGAACACCCGUGGCGAAAGCGGCUCUCUGGAACGGUACUGACGCUGAGACGCGAAAGCGUGGGGAGCGAACAGG
This 253-nucleotide ribosomal RNA is filed under the name uncultured bacterium. Its description in RNAcentral is "partial 16S ribosomal RNA". It matches the Rfam family "Bacterial small subunit ribosomal RNA", at positions 524 to 776 of the family's 1533-position model. The record is from RNAcentral.